UACAGAGGUCCCAAGCGUUGUUCGGAUUCACUGGGCGUAAAGGGUGCGUAGGUGGCUUUGCAAGUCUGAUGUGAAAUCUCCGGGCCCAACCCGGAAAUGGCAUUAGAAACUGCAGGGCUAGAGGCUUGGAGGGGGAACUGGAAUGCUCGGUGUAGCAGUGAAAUGCGUAGAGAUCGAGCGGAACACCAGUGGCGAAGGCGAGUUCCUGGACAAGUCCUGACACUGAGGCACGAAAGCUAGGGGAGCAAACAGG
Molecule: ribosomal RNA, 253 nt
Filed under: uncultured bacterium
Lineage: Bacteria
Description: partial 16S ribosomal RNA
Rfam family: Bacterial small subunit ribosomal RNA
Source: RNAcentral